GACGAACGCUGGCGGCGUGCCUAAUACAUGCAAGUCGAGCGGAAGUUGAAGAGCUUGCUCUUCAACUUUAGCGGCGGACGGGUGAGUAACACGUGGGCAACCUGCCCUGCAGAUCGGGAUAACUCCGGGAAACCGGUGCUAAUACCGAAUAGUUUUGGGUCCCCCCUGGGACCUAACGGAAAGACGGUUUCGGCUGUCACUGCAGGAUGGGCCCGCGGCGCAUUAGCUAGUUGGUGGGGUAACGGCCCACCAAGGCGACGAUGCGUAGCCGCCCUGAGAGGGGGAUCGGCCACACUGGGACUGAGACACGGCCCAGACUCCUACGGGAGGCAGCAGUAGGGAAUCUUCCGCAAUGGACGCAAGUCUGACGGAGCAACGCCGCGUGAGUGAUGAAGGUUUUCGGAUCGUAAAACUCUGUUGCGAGGGAAGAAACCGUGCCAAUUAACUACUGGCACCUUGACGGUACCUCGCCAGAAAGCCACGGCUAACUACGUGCCAGCCGCCGCUGUAA
This 511-nucleotide ribosomal RNA is filed under the name uncultured bacterium. RNAcentral describes it as "partial 16S ribosomal RNA". It matches the Rfam family "Bacterial small subunit ribosomal RNA", at positions 28 to 523 of the family's 1533-position model. The record is from RNAcentral.